RNAcentral lists this unclassified non-coding RNA (385 nucleotides) under Hevea brasiliensis (rubber tree). Lineage: Eukaryota; Viridiplantae; Streptophyta; Magnoliopsida; Malpighiales; Euphorbiaceae. The record is from RNAcentral.
CUACAAAAUCAUCAACAAAUUCAUGCCGCUUGAACUUUUACACACAAGACAUAACAAAUAUACAAACAUAAAAAUACAUGUAUGGCGGAGAAAUAAAGAGGAAAGGCUCACAAAAUCAACACCAAUGGUACUGAUAUAGCUGUCCACAUAAGAAUCAUCCUGAGAAUUUAAAAAACAGAAAAUAAACUUCAAUUUUAACUAUUAUAUAAAUACUAAAAGCUCAAACUCAACUAAUUUUCGCACUUAUUUUCUUAAAUAACCUCCAACCCACUAACACUAACAACAUAUAACAAUAUGUACAUUUAAUUCAUAAAAAAUAAAAUUUAUAAAAUAAAGGGAAAAAAAGUCAAUGGAGAGUCAAGCUCACGGCAAAUCUCAGAAGCAG